AGAAACAUUAAGAUUAAAUCAUUUUUAUUGACGUUGUGUUGUGUUUGCUAGAGAUGGCUAAACUUACUUUAGUGCAUAUUUGCGCCCUUUUCCUUUUGCUUGCAGGUUUAUUCUAGAUAGUGUAACAAUAUCUACUUUCUUGAUAUUUAUCUAUGUAUGAUUUGCUAAACUUAUCAUCGUUUAAUCACCAAUGCUAUUUGUAUAAUUGAUGGGACACUUUGGUUUUUAUAUCACAUAAUAAGAGUACAUUGUUUUAUAAAAUAAAAAGUUUUGUGACAUAUUAAAUUAAAAUUUGAUGAGAGUUACAUGCCUAAAAUUAUAACUCUUUAUUGUGGUUUUUUUGAAAUUUCAGGUAUUGUCAUCACAAGUGAAGCAAAAAGAAAUGAGUUUUGUCAAAAAAUUACAACAACGAUACCUACAAGUGGUUGCAUUACUACAGCAUGUCAUAGAAAAUGUGAAAGUAUGUUUAGUAAUUCUUGUGAUAUACGAGGACGUUGCAAAUCAAGCGAUUGCAUAUGUACUUAUUGUGGCUGAUAUGUUUGUACCUUCUUAAUUAAAGAAUGAAUAAAAACCGAU
Molecule: long non-coding RNA, 576 nt
Filed under: Lupinus angustifolius (narrow-leaved blue lupine)
Lineage: Eukaryota; Viridiplantae; Streptophyta; Magnoliopsida; Fabales; Fabaceae
Description: long non-coding RNA (LANG_LNC001154)
Source: RNAcentral